This 398-nucleotide ribosomal RNA is filed under the name uncultured bacterium. RNAcentral describes it as "partial 16S ribosomal RNA". It matches the Rfam family "Bacterial small subunit ribosomal RNA", at positions 362 to 776 of the family's 1533-position model. The record is from RNAcentral.
UAUUGCACAAUGGGGGAAACCCUGAUGCAGCGACGCCGCGUGAGUGAAGAAGUAUUUCGGUANGUAAAGCUCUAUCAGCAGGGAANNCCNNNGNCGGUACCUGACUAAGAAGCCCCGGCUAACUACGUGCNNNCNACCGCGGUAAUACGUAGGGGGCAAGCGUUAUCCGGAUUUACUGGGUGUAAAGGGAGCGUAGACGGCAAUACAAGUCGGAAGUGAAAUACCCGGGCUCAACCUGGGAACUGCUUUGGAAACUGUAUGGCUGGAGUGCUGGAGAGGUAAGCGGAAUUCCUAGUGUAGCGGUGAAAUGCGUAGAUAUUAGGAGGAACACCAGUGGCGAAGGCGGCUUACUGGACAGUAACUGACGUUGAGGCUCGAAAGCGUGGGGAGCAAACAGG